AUGGCCGCGCUAUGGCGCAGUGCCCAUGACAAGGUGCCCUGCAUGCCCACGUAUCGCACCCCUGAAGCGGCUAGUCACAACGACCGACAAGAAUGGCAACCUUGGGAGGGAAUUCGUGAAAUGCGAGAGCAAACCAGAGCAGGGAAAGAUGAGAUUUUACUUCUCAAUAUGCCAAUUUUGGUUUUUGUCUCCCAAUUUUAUAUUUGUCCAAUUUUUCAUCGGAUUUGGGAUUUAGGGUUCAUCUUUCCAAUUUCAGAAAUUGAAUCAAUGAUUCAUUUUGAGUGGCUAGAUGAGUACAUAGAGCGGAUUCAACUAGAGGGUACAUCAGGGGAGCUCGAUUUACCAUUGAAGGCGGAGAAGUUGGGCAAGUUUGGAUUGGGCGCGUCUGGAUCUGGGCCCCCUGGAUCUGCCCAUUCCAUUGGGGCUACUGUGGGGGAUGCAGGAGUGACGGCAGAGCUGAAGAAGCUGAACAAGCAGAUGAAGAAACUCAUCGAAUUGCAGAAGCAGGGCAAUUUGAUGGGGCUGAUGGCCGGACUUUUUUAUGUUUGCGUAAUUGCUCUCGCAUUUGUUUAUGUGAUGAUAAUUAGUCAUAAGUGA
Molecule: ribosomal RNA, 597 nt
Filed under: Triticum aestivum (bread wheat)
Lineage: Eukaryota; Viridiplantae; Streptophyta; Magnoliopsida; Poales; Poaceae
Description: partial small subunit ribosomal RNA
Source: RNAcentral